This 73-nucleotide transfer RNA is filed under the name Paramuricea clavata. It matches the Rfam family "tRNA". Rfam says of the family: Transfer RNA (tRNA) molecules are approximately 80 nucleotides in length. Lineage: Eukaryota; Metazoa; Cnidaria; Anthozoa; Malacalcyonacea; Plexauridae. The record is from Rfam by way of RNAcentral.
GACCGCGUAGCUCAGUUGGCAGAGCGUUGGGCUAGUAUUCCAAAGGUCGUAGGUUCGAUUCCCACCGUGGCCG